RNAcentral lists this long non-coding RNA (738 nucleotides) under Bemisia tabaci. RNAcentral's name for it is "lncRNA ENSSSA1UGG006348". The record is from RNAcentral. Lineage: Eukaryota; Metazoa; Arthropoda; Insecta; Hemiptera; Aleyrodidae.
AUGCGACUGAGCUUCAGUGAUGUUGUUGCGCGCUCCGAUAAUCGUCAACCGUCUAACAGCGCAGCCUACCACAAGCGAGAAAAAGCCUUCGAUUUCUCAGUUCCUCCUCCAGAACCAAUUGGACCCAAAAAAUCCACAAAUCCAGCAUCACAAAUGUGGGGAAACUCGUUAUUCUCAAGUGUGCCGCCGUUUAGCAAUGUUGACAAAGUAUGGGAUCAGUCUAUUGUCCUGAAAAUGAUAGAAGAAGAGCGGAUCAAGAAAGAAACUCUCGCUCGCAAUGCUUUAAUAGACUCUUGGCCAAAGUCAAUCCCCUCGCUGUGGUCAGACGCUCCGUCAUCCUCUUUACACACCGGGAGCCCACUCAGCAAUGCGGUUUGGAGCAACUCGUCUCCGACACGGAGUUCAGUGUGGGGCAGCGAUGUUUGGGCGCCUCCUGCUGCCUCAACCCCGCCCCGCACACCCUUGCGGCCGCCCCCUGGACUAGCACCCACCACUCCAAGAGUGGCCCCUUCCUCCCCUCUCCAUGUCUAUCCAAAUUUGGCCUCGCGCCAGCGGAUAUUUGAUGAAGGAGACAUCCCUCUUCCACCAAGCUACACUGCCAAUCAAGAGAAAUCCCAGCCAAAGCUUUCACAGUCGCAAGAGUAUGACCCAUUCCGAUCUCUAAGCAGUAUCUGGUCAUCGCCCUCACCAUCUCCUUCUCCCUCAAUUUGGAGCUCUAAUCCUUCACAAAAAAAUUGA